This is a long non-coding RNA of Macadamia integrifolia, 1409 nucleotides long. RefSeq lists it as uncharacterized. The record is from RefSeq and is a predicted model, not a curated record. The transcript is spliced from 3 exons. NCBI's taxonomy places the organism in Eukaryota, Viridiplantae, Streptophyta, Magnoliopsida, Proteales, Proteaceae.
UUUUGUUAUUUAUCCAAUUUUAUUUUUGAAGUUUUGGAAUAAAAACAAAGACUCCAGCUAGUAGGAGUACUAUCGCUGCAUCUACGGGUGGUAUGGGUCAAGUAAAACUCACAUACUCAAAUGAACUUUUGAUGAAGUAUUUGAUGCCUGAAGCUAUUCUAAUAUGUAUUGCAAUAUAGGAGGAUGAAUUAGGUAUCAAUGAACAAAGGAAGAACAUCACGUGGACCGAGCAAAUGGAUGAAACAAUGAUUCGAUGCCUCCAAGUCCAAGUAUAGGAGGGGAAAAAUAUAGGAAAUCCUUUCAAAGAGACGGCUUAAAAUUUUGUUGCUAAAGAGGUGAAUUCAAAGCACCCACAACACCAUAAGGAAGAAACAAAAGACAAUGUCAAUCGUUUUAGGAAAAUUAAGUAGACCUUUAGAAAUCUUCUUCUUUGUCUAGAGCAAAGUGGGUUUAGUUUUGAUCACACAGAGAAGAAGCUGAAGGUAGAAGACCAAAUAUGUUAUUCAUUUGUUGUUAAAGUAUAUGUUUUAAUGAUUAAUUGCACAAGUAUUUAAUUGAUUUUGUGGUUCACAGAUAUUAUUAUCAUAUAUUAAUAUUUGAUUUUCCUUUCUUUUGAUUCGGAAAGGAAAAGAAUUCAUGAAGUUGAGAAACAUGACUUGGCCCCUGUUGAAGAACUUAAAGAAGUUGUGGGUGAAGAUCAUGCCACAGGGGAAUUUUCUCAAUCAAACAGAGAUUCUUUCCGUCAGAGAAUAGAUAAGGGAACAACUUCUGAAGAACCUAGGCCAUACAUCCAUCUAGUUGACCAUAUGGGGAUAGGUGAGACCGAUGGCAGUGAAGAUUUAAACACCCAAGUGCCAAUGUCCACAUCGCAUUCUGGAGAGGGGAGUGGAGCUAGUGCAUCACAUGUUGUACCUCGAGAGAGAGAGGGAAGGUAGCAUUGAAUGGCCAAAUAUCUACUGUUGCUGCCUCUAUAGAUCGUUUGGCGACUGUGAUCCAAGAGAGGCAUGUCUCUCCUAAAGCACUGUUGGAUGUUAUACUAGAAGUAGAUCGAUUUAGCAAAGAUACACUUGACAUCGUCUUUGAUUUCCCCGUAGUAAAUGAACCUCAAGCAAAGGCAUUUUUAGUUAGGAAUGUGGAGUAACGGAGGAGGUGGAUCUUGAGGUUUCUUGAUCAAGGCCAUUGAUGUGAGUUCAUCUAUGAGGGAUAUCAACUGAAGGAAAUGACAAGGGAUUCGUAAAAGAGCAACCAAAUUUAUAUAAUGUUAUGCUUGAAGAUGAUACUUACAAGGGAGAGAUCGAAAUUGGCUUUAAAUUCACAGCAAAUAUAGAAGUGCAUAAGGAAACAAGAGUAUGUACUAAGCUGGACAAGCAAAAACCAGAGUCAUUAUAUGGAACACUUCAGUUUUUGGA